This 492-nucleotide ribosomal RNA is filed under the name uncultured bacterium. RNAcentral describes it as "partial 16S ribosomal RNA". It matches the Rfam family "Bacterial small subunit ribosomal RNA", at positions 29 to 507 of the family's 1533-position model. The record is from RNAcentral.
AGUGAACGCUGGCGGUAGGCCUAACACAUGCAAGUCGAACGGCAGCACAGUAAGAGCUUGCUCUUACGGGUGGCGAGUGGCGGACGGGUGAGGAGUACAUCGGAAUCUACUUUUUCGUGGGGGAUAACGUAGGGAAACUUACGCUAAUACCGCAUACGACCUACGGGUGAAAGCAGGGGAUCUUCGGACCUUGCGCGAUCGAAUGAGCCGAUGUCGGAUUAGCUAGUUGGCGGGGUAAAGGCCCACCAAGGCGACGAUCCGUAGCUGGUCUGAGAGGAUGAUCAGCCACACUGGAACUGAGACACGGUCCAGACUCCUACGGGAGGCAGCAGUGGGGAAUAUUGGACAAUGGGCGAAAGCCUGAUCCAGCCAUACCGCGUGGGUGAAGAAGGCCUUCGGGUUGUAAAGCCCUUUUGUUGGGAAAGAAAAGCAGCAGGUUAAUACCCCGCUGUUCUGACGGUACCCAAAGAAUAAGCACCGGCUAACUUCGCG